CCCUUAGAUGUUCUGGGCCGCACGCGCGCUACACUGACACGUUCAUCAAGUCUAUAACCUUGACCGAGAGGUCUGGGUAAUCUUUUAAAAACGUGUCGUGCUGGGGAUAGAUUAUUGCAAUUAUUAAUCUUCAACGAGGAAUUCCUAGUAAACGCAAGUCAUCAACUUGCAUUGAUUACGUCCCUGCCCUUUGUACACACCGCCCGUCGCUACUACCGAUUGAAUGAUUUAGUGAGUACCAGGGACCGAGCGCUUUGGUUGGGCUUCCUUCCCUAGCGCUUGGGAACUGUCGCAAACUUGACCAUUUAGAGGAAGUAAAAGUCGUAACA
RNAcentral lists this ribosomal RNA (329 nucleotides) under uncultured eukaryote. RNAcentral's name for it is "partial 18S ribosomal RNA". It matches the Rfam family "Eukaryotic small subunit ribosomal RNA", at positions 1470 to 1796 of the family's 1831-position model. The record is from RNAcentral.